GAUCUGAAUUGUCUUAUAGUGACUCUUGAUGAAGUAGAUCAUGUACAGUGUAGGCUGUUUUGGAACUGUGAUCCGGCCAGUGUCACUCAAUCCAUUGUACCCAAUCACUUAGCAUCCAUUGUUAAAAAUUUGUUCUGAGAAGGUGCUCAUUAACAAGAAGCCAUGCCCACUUGAAACAGACGAGGGAGAUGAUGUUAGCAGGUGUUGCAUUAAAGCUAAAAUAAAAAUAAAUACUGGUAAUCUUUUGUUGAUAAUUUCAGAGCCUUCUUCAAAUUGUGUCAAUCAGAUAACUUAACUUUGGACUCCGGCUCCACCCACAAUUGUGUAUCUCUCCCAGAAGCUCCACCCUCUAAUGCUAUCACCUUUUGAACCCUCAAUGGGGACAUUGUUACAAUAAUAUCAUCAAGUCAGUACAGAUUACAGUCUGACUUACUUCCCUCUCUGUAUAUGAUUUUUGCUAAUGAACUAGUUAAAACAUUUUUAAUGAUUUUUUUGAAAAGGUACAAUUUAAACUGAUUAAUUUUUU
Long non-coding RNA from Amphimedon queenslandica, 526 nucleotides. RefSeq lists it as uncharacterized. NCBI's taxonomy places the organism in Eukaryota, Metazoa, Porifera, Demospongiae, Haplosclerida, Niphatidae. The record is from RefSeq and is a predicted model, not a curated record. The transcript is spliced from 5 exons.